This 358-nucleotide ribosomal RNA is filed under the name uncultured bacterium. Its description in RNAcentral is "bacterial SSU rRNA". It matches the Rfam family "Bacterial small subunit ribosomal RNA", at positions 137 to 509 of the family's 1533-position model. The record is from RNAcentral.
ACUGGGAUAACAGUUAGAAUAGACUGCUAAUACGGAUAAUUAGUAAAGAAAACUUUUAUACUAAAAGGAGCUUCGGCUUCACUUUGAGAUGGGCUUGCGGUGUAUUAGCUAGUUGGUGGGGUAAUGGCCUACCAAGGCAACGAUGCAUAUCCGAGCUGAGAGGCUGAUCGGACACACUGGGACUGAGACACGGCCCAGACUCCUACGGGAGACAGCAGUUAGGAAUAUUCGUCAAUGGGGGAAACCCCUGAACGAGCAAUGCCGCGUGAGUGAUGAAGGCCCUAUGGGUUGUAAAACUCUAUCAGCAGGGGAAGAGAAUGACGGUACCUGACUAAGAAGCCCCGGCUAACUACGUGCC